Molecule: ribosomal RNA, 491 nt
Filed under: uncultured bacterium
Lineage: Bacteria
Description: bacterial SSU rRNA
Rfam family: Bacterial small subunit ribosomal RNA
Source: RNAcentral
UGGGAAUAUUGGACAAUGGGCGCAAGCCUGAUCCAGCCAUGCCGCGUGAAGUGAUGAAGGCCCUAGGGUUGUAAAGCUCUUUCAACGGUGAAGAUAAUGACGGUAACCGUAGAAGAAGCCCCGGCUAACUUCGUGCCAGCAGCCGCGGUAAUACGAAGGGGGCUAGCGUUGUUCGGAUUUACUGGGCGUAAAGCGCACGUAGGCGGAUCGUUAAGUGAGGGGUGAAAUCCCGGGGCUCAACCCCGGAACUGCCUCCAAAACUAUUGGUCUAGAGUUCGAGAGAGGUGAGUGGAAUUCCAAGUGUAGAGGUGAAAUUCGUAGAUAUUUGGAGGAACACCAGUGGCGAAGGCGGCUCACUGGCUCGAUACUGACGCUGAGGUGCGAAAGUGUGGGGAGCAAACAGGAUUAGAUACCCUGGUAGUCCAACGCCGUAAAACGAUGAGUGCUAGAUGUUGGGAUUUUUCGGAUUUCAGUGUCGCAGCUAACGCAUU